GUUUAACGUCAUUCAAACGCUGAAAAUUCUACUCAGUGACAAGAAGUGUUUGAUUGGCCUCAACGAAUGCCAAGCUGUACUUAUCAAAUUAGACCAGGCAUUUUCAGGUCACAUGUUGCGUGCCUGUUCUCGUUUUCUUGAGCAGUAGGUGCAAGGCAUGAGGCGGGCGAUCCUGUAUUUGACGUGUGGGCGCGACUAAUUGUCAACGGUUCACGACAGCUAGGAGCUAUGGCCGAAUCGCGAUUGGAAUGGGACGACCAUCAAGGCAGCAAUACCGAGGUUGUUCGGUUUGAUGUGGGGGACGAAGUCUGGAUUUCGUAUGAACAUGACUCAAAUCAUCCUGUGUUUGGUGAUGACAACGCAAGAAUGACGUCUUUUACAGGAGUUCUCUUACAAGCUUCGUUCCCAUAAUCUUUCGACAUUAUAAUCUUUGCUGUAUAUCACCAUUUGUAGUUGAAAAUUAAUGAAAACAGCACUAUUGUACAUCUGAAGAAACUGGAUCAAUGUAUGAUU
Long non-coding RNA from Dreissena polymorpha, 513 nucleotides. RefSeq lists it as uncharacterized. NCBI's taxonomy places the organism in Eukaryota, Metazoa, Mollusca, Bivalvia, Myida, Dreissenidae. The transcript has 3 exons. The record is from RefSeq and is a predicted model, not a curated record.